Molecule: long non-coding RNA, 189 nt
Organism: Lolium perenne
Lineage: Eukaryota; Viridiplantae; Streptophyta; Magnoliopsida; Poales; Poaceae
Source: RefSeq, a predicted model, not a curated record
CUCGUGUUGAUGCCUGGGAUAGCUCAUUAAUUAGCAAGGUGAAGAAGAAGGAUAGGAUUAGCCCUGGAGUUUUCGGCAAAUUACAACUGAAGGAGAAAUACAGGGACACUCAACAGAGUGGUCUUUUUGGAGGAUUGCUAAAGGCUGAACAAUUUACUGCCUCUAAUCUGCCACGAGACUACGACCAAA